GAACGCUAGCUACAGGCUUAACACAUGCAAGUCGAGGGGAAACGAUAUUGAAGCUUGCUUCUGAUAGGCGUCGACCGGCGCACGGGUGAGUAACGCGUAUCCAACCUGCCCAUCACUUGGGGAUAACCUUGCGAAAGUAAGACUAAUACCCAAUGACGUCUCUAGAAGACAUCUGAAGGAGAUUAAAGAUUUAUCGGUGAUGGAUGGGGAUGCGUCUGAUUAGCUUGUUGGCGGGUAACGGCCCACCAAGGCGACGAUCAGUAGGGGUUCUGAGAGGAAGGUCCCCCACACUGGAACUGAGACACGGUCCAAACUCCUACGGGAGGCAGCAGUGAGGAAUAUUGGUCAAUGGACGAGAGUCUGAACCAGCCAAGUAGCGUGCAGGAUGACGGCCCUAUGGGUUGUAAACUGCUUUUAUAAGGGAAUAAAGUGAGUCUCGUGAGACUUUUUGCAUGUACCUUAUGAAUAAGGACCGGCUAAUUCCGUG
This 487-nucleotide ribosomal RNA is filed under the name uncultured bacterium. RNAcentral describes it as "bacterial SSU rRNA". It matches the Rfam family "Bacterial small subunit ribosomal RNA", at positions 31 to 507 of the family's 1533-position model. The record is from RNAcentral.